GGUUGUCGUCAGCUCGUGUCGUGAGAUGUUGGGUUAAGUCCCGCAACGAGCGCAACCCUCGCCUCUAGUUGCCAGCAUUCGGUUGGGCACUCUAGAGGGACUGCCGGCGACAAGUCGGAGGAAGUGGGGAUGACGUCAAAUCAUCAUGCCCCUUAUGACCUGGGCUACACACGUGCUACAAUGGGCGGUACAAAGGGCUGCGAACCCGCGAGGGGGAGCGAAUCCCAAAAAGCCGCUCUCAGUUCGGAUUGCAGGCUGCAACUCGCCUGCAUGAAGCCGGAAUCGCUAGUAAUCGCGGAUCAGCAUGCCGCGGUGAAUACGUUCCCGGGCCUU
Molecule: ribosomal RNA, 333 nt
Filed under: uncultured Geobacillus sp.
Lineage: Bacteria; Bacillati; Bacillota; Bacilli; Caryophanales; Anoxybacillaceae
Description: bacterial SSU rRNA
Rfam family: Bacterial small subunit ribosomal RNA
Source: RNAcentral